CAUUACUCAGCUUUAAAAAUAUUAAAACAUUCAUUCAUUUAUUCUAAAUAAGCACCUUCCCUGUGAUCUUUCUAUGUAUUUGGGUAUUUAGAGACUGGAUUCAAGACAGUAUGAGGCAGCAGAAAGUUUUCUGGUAAACAGGAAAAAAGUUCUGGACCGUUUCCUUGGUGUCAGGAUGCACAGGAUGCAGGUGACAGAAGCAGCCAAAGAACUGGUGUGUGCAGGACCAGAUCCAUUCACAUCUGAGCUUUGCUGUGCCCAUUUAUUGGUGUUCCAGGUGAAUUAGGAUUUGUGUCUGCUCUUCAGUUUAAAGUGGACACACAUUUGUUGGCAGUCCUCCCAUCCCUGUAAUGGAUGUGGCCACUUACUGCAGCUGCUGACAGCACCAUCAAGGGAAGUGUGGAGCCACGAGGCUUCUGUAUCUUCACAAGUCCUAGCAGGUAAGUUCUUCAUUCCCCUCUCCCUUCCCAGAUGAUGCACAUGCAUCAUAUUUCCUUGAAAUAAGUAUUUCCAUGAAGGCCGAAGAUGUUAAU
RNAcentral lists this long non-coding RNA (533 nucleotides) under Cyanistes caeruleus (blue tit). RNAcentral's name for it is "lncRNA (ENSCCEG00000000344.1)". Lineage: Eukaryota; Metazoa; Chordata; Aves; Passeriformes; Paridae. The record is from RNAcentral.